UUUCGAAUCAUUCACAAUGGGCGAAAGCCUGAUGGUGCGACGCCGCGUGAGGGAUGAAGGUCUUCGGAUUGUAAACCUCUGUCACCGGGGAAGAAACGCUUUGAGCUAAUAGUUCAAAGCCUGACUUAACCCGGAGAGGAAGCAGUGGCUAACUCUGUGCCAGCAGCCGCGGUAAUACAGAGACUGCGAGCGUUAUUCGGAUUCACUGGGCGUAAAGGGUGCGCAGGCGGCCAAGUGUGUGAGGCGUGAAAGCCCGGGGCUUAACCCCGGAAUUGCACCUCAAACUACAUGGCUAGAGCAUUGGAGAGGGUAGCAGAAUUCACGGUGUAGCAGUGAAAUGCGUAGAUAUCGUGAGGAAUACCAGAGGCGAAGGCGGCUACCUGGACAA
RNAcentral lists this ribosomal RNA (388 nucleotides) under uncultured bacterium. Its description in RNAcentral is "bacterial SSU rRNA". It matches the Rfam family "Bacterial small subunit ribosomal RNA", at positions 355 to 736 of the family's 1533-position model. The record is from RNAcentral.